CUGGCUCAGAACGAACGCUGGUAGCGUGGAUUAGGCAUGCAAGUCGAACGGGAUCCGGGAGGUAGCAAUACUUCUGGUGAGAGUGGCGGAUUGGGGAGGAACACGUGAGCAACCUGCCCUUGAGUUGGGGAAAACCGUUGGAAACGACGGCUAAUACCGGAUGUGGCGCCCGGCGACAUCACUGGAGCGCUAAAGGGGGCCGCAAGGCUCUCGCUCGAGGAGGGGCUCGCGCACCAUCAGCUUGUUGGCGGGUAACGGCCCACCAAGGCCUACGGUUAGCUGGUCUGAGAGGAUGACCAGCCCCACUGGGACUGAGAUACUGCCCAGACUCCUACGGGAGGCUGCAGUCGAGGAUCAUUUGCAAUGGGCGAAAGCCUGACAAUGCGACGCUGCGUGGAAGGAUGAAGGCCUUCGGGUUGUAAACUCCUGUCAUGGGGGAACAGGCGAGGGGAGCUAAUACCUCCCUUAGUUGAGUGUACCCCAAGAGGAAGGGACGGCUAACUCUGUGCCAGCAGCAGC
This 519-nucleotide ribosomal RNA is filed under the name uncultured bacterium. RNAcentral's name for it is "bacterial SSU rRNA". It matches the Rfam family "Bacterial small subunit ribosomal RNA", at positions 19 to 518 of the family's 1533-position model. The record is from RNAcentral.